Molecule: long non-coding RNA, 571 nt
Filed under: Nicotiana tabacum (common tobacco)
Lineage: Eukaryota; Viridiplantae; Streptophyta; Magnoliopsida; Solanales; Solanaceae
Description: long non-coding RNA (NTAB_LNC011067)
Source: RNAcentral
CAGUCCCUUUUCCCCUAUAAAAUCCUCACUCUCUCUCAUUAAUUUCCUCACCCCGAUCACAAUUCUGCUUAACCCAUUUCUUAUUCAAGUACCAAAAAAUGGCAGGAAUCAUUCACAAGAUAGAGGAGAAACUCCACAUUGGAGGCCACAAGGAAGGAGAGAAAGACAAACACCAUGAGGCUGAUAAGCACAAGGAAGAAGAGAAGCACAAAAAGGAUCACGGCCAUAGCAGCGGAGAGCACAAGGAAGGGAUUGUUGAGAAGAUAAAGGAAAAGAUCCAUGGAGAAGAAGGCGGAGAGCACCAUCACAAGGAAGGAGAGGAGAAGAAGAAGAAAAAGGACAAAAAGGACAAAAAGGAGAAGAAGCACGAUGGGCAUGACAGCAGCAGCAGCGACAGCGAUAGCGAUUAGAUCUAAUCCUCGAUCCCUAAAUAAUGAUCCUUCCUUAUUAGCCUUUCUCCAAUGUAUUUCCUACUGCUUUCUGAUAUAGAUCUAUCUUCCUUACCACUUAGCAGUUGCUUGUAUGUUUUAUUGGAAUGUAAUUAACGUUUGAAUCGCUUGCUGUAUACCAU